RNAcentral lists this long non-coding RNA (3484 nucleotides) under Marmota monax (woodchuck). The record is from RNAcentral. Lineage: Eukaryota; Metazoa; Chordata; Mammalia; Rodentia; Sciuridae.
GGACACUUCAACAUUCCCUCUGCUAUCCAAAUCUUUGCUCCAAGCACAUACCCUGUGAAGAUUUCUUAGGCAACAUAAUUGAAAAUGGUAAUUAUCAAUUGCCAUUUUUUUUUAUCAACUUUCCUGCUUUUUUUUUUCUCCAUAGCAUUUCCCACCUUCUGAAUCACUAUGUAAUUUUUCUGUUUAUUCUGCAUUUUCUCCACUUCCCCCACCAGAAUGCAAACUCAAAGCAGAAAUUUUGGUCUGUUUUGCUCAGGAAUUUUGUCUGCAUCUCUGCCUAGAAUAGUCCUUGGCACACCGCCACUCCCCAAGUAUUCUCAGAAGGAAACAGAGUUCGUGGACUCUCUGCUGACUCUCUGCUCUUCUGAAGUCCAACAGAGCUCUGGCUGCCAAAGCCACCCACUCCAGUGUCGGCCUCUGAUGUGAACCAGGGGUACAGAUUGGACUGGAGGACACUCCUCCCUUUCAGUAAGUGUUUUUCUUGCUGGCACUUUCUGAGACCUGCCUCUGUCUCUUCUCCACCCCACACAUGCUCUUGACUCUUCACUUCCUCCUUGAAGCUGGUGGAUCUCAGGGGCUUGCCCUUGAACUAUUUCAGAGUCUGAAGAUUACACAAAUCACCACAAAUGGGGUGUAUGGCUGCCCCCUGCCAACCACUGUCCAUGUUCUUCUUCUUGUGUCAGCCUUUCUAGAGGAGAAGGGGCAGUAGUGGGCCAGCAAAGCCUCUGCCACAGGACUGCACCUCUGUGCUUUGGAGGCCUUCCUUGAAUUUUCUAAGCCCUUCUCACAGCCUGGGACUUGUCAGGACUGGCCAUGUUCUCCAGGAAGGAGACUCCUGGCUCAGAAGACCCAGACCACAAUGACCUCUGUCUUCCUCUGUCAAGAUGCUUCUGACCCUGAACAUUGUGUCAAUCAGAUAUCCCCGCCAGCUCUGGGACUCAAACCAUGGAAUCUCCUCAGAGGCUGGUGGUUGGGCUUUCAUUUAAGGUGAGCAGUCGGGCAACUAGGUUAUUCCUGCUGGCACCACGGUGCAGUGUGGGACCUCCUGAGACCGAGCAGAUGGCGCUGACAUACUGAUUUGGGGGUAACUUCAACUUGAACACAAGAUGGCUUCAGGACUCGGUUACCAACAGUUCACCACUAAGCCUUGGUUCAAAUCACCAGUGUGGGCCUGUGUCCAUCUGUGUCUCUAUUGUGGGUGGCAUCACUGCCUGUCUUCAACACUUGAUGGUGGCGGGUAUGUGCCAUCACACCCUGCAGCCACUGGCACUCAAGCCACCCCUACUGUAGGCUCUGAACCAGGCCAGACAGUCCUCUGAAGAUGGCUUCAAGACUGAGCACUGUCCUUCCAGUCAAGGUCUCUCUUGCUUCCCACGGGUGGGAACUGCUCAUUCUCCCUUCACGUAUGGACCCCUUGCCUUCCAUCCUUGCUAUUGGAGGGGUUUCGUCACCUCUGAAAGAGCUCCCAUUCUAGGACUGCAGUGACGACCACAUCAAGAGCCCAAGAGGACACGUGGCUGGAAAACGGGUUGCUCUGUGUUCACGCUGUGGCAUUUUGGAUGGUGAGCUUAACGGGACCAGAAAGCAAACAUGGGCUCACAUGUUCCUGCACACCCUUGGGAAGACUUGCAUCAAUGAAGCACAAUAGUGACCUCUGAGAGAGUCACUGGGGACAGUGUGGAUGGAUGAUGUGGUGACAUGAGUAACAAUGUAACCAGCGUCACAGAGGCACUGUUAGGGAACUGCAGAAGCAACUGCAGAACCGUGAGCAGGUUCUGCAGAGCCAGGACCCUGUGAUUAAUUACAGCCCGGCUACUGUUUUCUCCUAAGGGAAAUACAACCAGGAGCGGUGCCCCCGACAACUGAGCGCACAGAGGCGGGUCUAGAUUCAGACAGAACGUGAGGGGGCUUGGAGCCCAAAAGAAUCCUCACAUGGACCCAUGGGAUGAUGCACACUGGGAAAGCCACUCUUCAUUAAUACGCCACUAGACCUCACAGGAGUCCGUGUUUUAAGAUGUAUUUUAAAAUCGAAUUAUUUAUAUAGACAAGGUCCCUGCACUGCAAAACAACAACAACAAACAACAAACCCACCACCACCACAACAGGAAACUUCCCCCAGGGGUCCUGCACACUCUUGGAGCAGCUCUGAGAAGGAAGCAAUGGGGCCUCUGCAGGCAGACCCACUGGGUCUUUUCUUCUGGUUGCAGAAUGAUUUGUUUCCAUUUCAAAGCAGCUCACUGGCUGCAAGAUAGUUUUAAAUUGAUAACUCUGACAGAUUGGGACAGGCAAAUUCUAAUGUCACACUAUUAAGAUUCCUGGAAGUCUUUCUGAUGGUGUUUAUUAAAAAUUGAAAGGAGGCAAGGCAUUUUUUAUGUUAUAUCAUGACAGGUUAAAGCACAUUUUUAAUGUGUGUUCUCCCCUCAGAGGGAAUUAGAUCUUUAGCCACGCCGGGGGACUUUCUAAACCUGAGGACUUCUAAAUGUCUCUUCUGGCAGUAGUGCCUUUGGUCCUGAGAUUUUAAAAAAAUUAGCCAGAACUAGAUACUGUGUCAAAAGCCUGUAAUCUCAGAGACUCAGGAGGCUAAGGCAACUUGGAUCCCAAGUUCAAAGCCAGCCUUGACAACUUAGUGACAGCCUGUCUCAAAAUAAAAAAUAAAAAAGGCUGGGGAUGCAGCUCAGGCGUAGAAUGCCCCUGGGUUCAAUCUCCAGUAAAAUAAAUAAAUACAUAAUAAAUAAUCAGCCAGAAAAAGAUACUGCAAGAACUGCUACCAGAUUAGUUCUGUUAUUCCACUGGGAUUAAUGUCUUCUUUUGAUUCCCCAGCUCAUUAGCUUGGAGAAGAUCUAGAGAGCCAUCAGUCCUCAACCUCCUCAUGGGUCUUUUAUUUGUGGGACAGAGUUGGCCCAUUGUUCAUAAUACUGUUUCUAGUAUCCUGAGCUUGUGCUCAACUAUACCAACCGCUAAGCCCUCUCGAGUGUUUAUAUGUGCCAGCCACCGUUCUAAUAGGUAUCACAAGUUAUACCUAUUAAAUCUCAUGGGUCCGUGAAUUAAAUGCUAUCCCUCUUCUCAUUUCAUGAUAAAAUGCCUAACCAAAAAGCUAAGGUUUCGUGACUCGAGAGUGAUGGAGAUCCCGGGCAGUUUUUUCAUUGAGCUGACUUUCAUAGCCACUUUGCCAUCCUGACUCUCAAGGACGUGAUAACUUAACUCUUGGUUUCCCAUAUUAUAGACACCCUGGAAAUACUUGUUCUUGCUGUCCCCUGCUCUUGAAGGAAGGUAUCCUGUGUAAGAGCGAUUCUCAUCAUUCAAUGUUUAACACAAUGCUACCAAUCCUCACCCGCCUGGGACCACCCAGAGGGCUCAUGGACAUCAGUGAUGUCCAUUCUUGUUCCUGAUGCACCUGCUGACAUGGGACCUCCAAGCCCCCUGCAAAGACCCCCAUGAGAAUUCCCACCUAAUCCCAAGGAGCCUCGGAUGUGCUCCUCACCAC